GGGGAAGCCGGUGCGAAUCCGGCGCUGACCCGCAACCGUGAGCCGCCCUCGCAGGCGGCGAGUCGGAACACCC
Molecule: non-coding RNA, 73 nt
Filed under: Streptomyces niveus
Lineage: Bacteria; Bacillati; Actinomycetota; Actinomycetes; Kitasatosporales; Streptomycetaceae
Source: RNAcentral